UCUACUCUUGUAUCAUAAUGAAGUGUGUUUAUUGUGCCAAAACUGUCAAAAAAUUCAGCAUGCUGUUUCUUGUGAUGUAUGUGGUAGUUGGACACACAGAUUAUGUGGUACAGACAUUUCGAAGGAAGACUACUUAAGAGCCCAAGACCAGACUAUCAGUUUUGUGUGUUCUGUCUGCAAUGUCCAUGUUGGAAACUUUUCACUAAAUGCAACAAUUGAAUCAUCACUAUUAGCUUCUUCUGAAAGAAUAAAUAUAAAGUUCAUGGUGGCACCCAUAGCUUCAUAAAAAAAACUAAUGAGUUUACCUUUUUUGCCAAAGUCACACGUACUGUACGUGACAUUUUACCAACUUCAGGGUAAAACCACAAACGAUAAACUAAUUGAGUUAAUGGAUUAUAUGGAACGUCAAUGGAUUGACCAUAGCCUUUUUAAAAUGUCAUCUUGGAGUGUGUUUAACCAGACAAUAAGGACAAACAAUAACAUAGAAGGGUGGCAUCGACACAUCAACCACAAGGCUGGUGAGCAGCAGUUGGGGAUGUAUAAGCUGAUUAGCUUUCUUUUUGGAGAAGUCGACAUGUUGCCCCUUCAAGCCGCAUUAUUGUUCGAAGGGAAAUUGAGGAGUUAUUUCAUCCGAACAUGUACGAACGCCCAAGAAGAGAUUUACCAUGCUUGGAGAGAAUAUGAGAAUGGAGAUUUGAUUGCUAGCAUGAUGUUACGGAUAUGUUCCCGUCACCAUGGACCCGUUGAAUAGAUAGUCCUGGGCCAUAACUCUGGCAGUAAUUAUCAGAAAUCGCUGAAAAUCAAUAGACUUCUUCAUCGCAUGACCUUAAACACUGUGUAUGAAUUUAAAGUCAAUCGGAUAUUAACUUAAGCCUCUAGAGAGUUUUUAAUGUGAUCAAGGGUCAUAACUGGCAGUAAUUAUCAGAUGUCGCUUAAAAUCAAUAGGCUUCUUCGUCCCAUGACCUUAAACACUGUGUAUAAAUUUAAAUUCAAUCGGAUAUUAACUUUAGUCAACUCUAAUCUCACUUAAUGUAUCUUUAAGUGUUAAAACACAUUGUAUUUUAAU
Molecule: long non-coding RNA, 1066 nt
Organism: Patella vulgata (common limpet)
Lineage: Eukaryota; Metazoa; Mollusca; Gastropoda; Patellidae
Exons: 3
Source: RefSeq, a predicted model, not a curated record